GCAUAUCAAUAAGCGGAGGAAAAGAAACUAACAAGGAUUCCCUUAGUAACGGCGAGUGAACCGGGAAGAGCUCAAAUUUGAAAUCUGGCUGUCUUCGAUAGUCCGAGUUGUAAUCUAUAGAAGCGUUUUCCGUGCUGAACUGUGUCUAAGUCCCUUGGAACAGGGUAUCAAAGAGGGUGACAAUCCCGUACUUGACACAAUCAUCAGUGCUCUGUGAUACGUUCUCUACGAGUCGAGUUGUUUGGGAAUGCAGCUCAAAAUGGGUGGUAAAUUCCAUCUAAAGCUAAAUAUUGGCGAGAGACCGAUAGCGAACAAGUACCGUGAGGGAAAGAUGAAAAGCACUUUGGAAAGAGAGUUAAACAGUACGUGAAAUUGUUGAAAGGGAAACGAUUGAAGUCAGUCGUGUUCAUUGGAUUCAGCCGGUCUUCGGUGUACUUCCUUUGAACGGGUCAACAUCAGUUUUGCUCGGUGGAUAAAGGUAGUAGGAAUGUGGCCCUUCCGGGGGUGUUAUAGCCUAUUAUCACAUACACUGGGGGAGACUGAGGACUGCAGCUCGCCUUUAUGGCCGGGGGUUCGCCCACGUUCGAGCUUAGGAUGUUGACAUAAUGGCUUUAAACGACCCGUCUUGAAACACGGACC
Molecule: ribosomal RNA, 639 nt
Filed under: Apiotrichum mycotoxinovorans
Lineage: Eukaryota; Fungi; Basidiomycota; Tremellomycetes; Trichosporonales; Trichosporonaceae
Description: eukaryotic LSU rRNA
Rfam family: Eukaryotic large subunit ribosomal RNA
Source: RNAcentral